UCUUUUUUAAACUCAAAAAUUUAAAUUAUUUUUGUUUGUGAAGAAACAACAAUAACAAUUAAGGACAAGAAGACCCUAAGAAUUUUUAAUUAAUGAUUACUAACUUAAAUAAAUAAUUAUUAAUUUUAACUGGGGUGAUUAAUAAAAAUUAAAAACUUUAUUAUAAAAUAAUAUGAACCAUUAAUAAUGGUUUUUUGAAAAAAAUACUCUAGGGAUAACAGCGUAAUAAUUUUUAAUAGUUCAUAUAGACAAAAUAGUUUGCGACCUCGAUGUUGGAUUAGGAUUCUUAU
This 290-nucleotide ribosomal RNA is filed under the name Amblyomma humerale. RNAcentral's name for it is "partial 16S ribosomal RNA". Lineage: Eukaryota; Metazoa; Arthropoda; Arachnida; Ixodida; Ixodidae. The record is from RNAcentral.